RNAcentral lists this ribosomal RNA (450 nucleotides) under uncultured bacterium. RNAcentral describes it as "partial 16S ribosomal RNA". It matches the Rfam family "Bacterial small subunit ribosomal RNA", at positions 354 to 796 of the family's 1533-position model. The record is from RNAcentral.
GUGGGGAAUCUUCCGCAAUGGACGAAAGUCUGACGGAGCGACGCCGCGUGAGUGAAGAAGGCCUUCGGAUCGUAAAGCUCUUUCGUUAGGGACGAACGUGCUCUUUGUGAAUAAUGAGGAGUAAUGACGGUACCUAAAUAAGAAGCCACGGCUAACUACGUGCCAGCAGCCGCGGUAAUACGUAGGUGGCAAGCGUUGUCCGGAAUUAUUGGGCGUAAAGCGCGCGCAGGCGGGAUAUCAAGUCUGUCUUAAAAGUGCGAGGCUCAACCUCGUGAGGGGACAGAAACUGGUAUUCUUGAGUGUCGGAGAGGAAAGUGGAAUUCCAAGUGUAGCGGUGAAAUGCGUAGAGAUUUGGAAGAACACCAGUGGCGAAGGCGACUUUCUGGACGAUGUCUGACGCUGAGGCGCGAAAGCUAGGGGAGCGAACGGGAUUAGAAACCCUAGUAGUCC